Long non-coding RNA from Felis catus (domestic cat), 537 nucleotides. RefSeq lists it as uncharacterized. The record is from RefSeq and is a predicted model, not a curated record. Lineage: Eukaryota; Metazoa; Chordata; Mammalia; Carnivora; Felidae. The transcript is spliced from 3 exons.
UCCCCUGACUUGUGUCCAUGAAGCGCCUGGCCCUGGUGGUCAGUCCCCGCCCCCACCGCCAGCCUACCUCCAUUUCUAAUUGGGCCGCAAAGCCGUUUAAUGGUGUCUGCGAGGCUGCAGGCUGCUCGGGGCAGAACAAUGCGCUAUUCAUGUCCAAACAGAACACUAGUGAUCGGGCUAAUAUCUUGAAGCUAAAAAGCAAGGCUUAAUUGCGACAGAUGCUGCAAAUUCCAGUGCAAAAGGCCAGCUCCUAUGUGAUCUAAACCAGGGAGGCACAUCCAGACCUGGAGGAGAGGCCCACGUGUUGCCGAGAGAUGGAAACAUAUUUGCUCUCAUAGCAGUAGAAUUGUUGGCUGUGUGCUCAACAUGACUCAGCUCAACAUGAUUCAGCUGCCCGAGCUUCUGCUCUACACAGACAUGUGGUUGUGAUCUGAAUCCUCUUGGACCAGACAGCUGAGGGCCGUACCCCAGAGGCGAUGAAGACAAAGCAGAAGGAGGCUGGCUCCUCGGAUAAUCUCCUGAAAGGGAGCUGCCAUG